This 380-nucleotide long non-coding RNA is filed under the name Pongo abelii (Sumatran orangutan). Its description in RNAcentral is "lincRNA". Lineage: Eukaryota; Metazoa; Chordata; Mammalia; Primates; Hominidae. The record is from RNAcentral.
AGCCAGAAUGUGGUCUGAGAGGCUGGAUAUACAAAGAGACAAUGGCGUGACCAUCUGUACAAAUGGAACUAUGGCCCACAACCUGAAGCAGCCAGCCCAGGAAGCCAACCCAUUACCUGCAGCAGCCAGGCUGGACGCUGGCCUGCCCUCGUGUGGGCUCCACCACCCUCCUGCCUGCUGUGGGAAAUCAGGAGGGUGAAGGUGAAGCUGGGCUUGACCCAGAGGUGCCCACAGGGACGCCCAGAGCUGCACAAGCUCCCUCCAUCUUGCCUCUGGGACCAGCCCUGCAUUGCUCCAAAGCCCUCAUCAGAGUCUGCUUUCUGUUGCAAUAACUGAAUACCUGAGAUUGGACAAUUUAUAAAGAAAAAAUUAUAUCUGAC